GAGGAGUGGGAGCUGGUCAACGGGUUGGCAACACCUCCAAUGUUAGCGCUGGUUACAACUCCGGAUCCAUUGGUUCAGGGAAUAGCUUCAAAAUGAGCUGAGGAAAUCGGCCUCCAACGCUUCUAAAAACAAUGCAACAUUUGUCGAAUGUAGAAUUCAUGAUUUCAAAUCAACAGAAAGAGUGAGUGAUCUGAUGAAUGUAAAGGAAAUAUGAGUGUAAAUAAAGUAGAGUACCUGCUCUAUGA
Molecule: long non-coding RNA, 245 nt
Organism: Hypomesus transpacificus
Lineage: Eukaryota; Metazoa; Chordata; Actinopteri; Osmeriformes; Osmeridae
Exons: 2
Source: RefSeq, a predicted model, not a curated record